AGACAUGCAAGUCGAACGAGAAGCUCCCUUCGGGGAGUGGAGAGUGGCGCACGUGGUGAGUAACACGUGAGCAACCUGCCGGGAAGCCCGGGAUAGCCCUCCGAAAGGAGGAUUAAUACCGGAUGUGGCCACCCUGCGAUUGCAGGGGAAGCUAAAGGAUUUAUUCACUUCCCGAGGGGCUCGCGGCCCAUCAGCUUGUUGGUGAGGGUAACGGCCCACCAAGGCGACAACGGGUAGCUGGUCUGAGAGGAUGGUCAGCCACACUGGAACUGAGACACGGUCCAGACACCUACGGGUGGCAGCAGUCGAGAAUCAUUCGCAAUGGGGGAAACCCUGACGAUGCGACGCCGCGUGGAGGAUGAAGGCCUUAGGGUUGUAAACUCCUGUCAAGAGGGAAUAAGCAAGUGAAGGUACCUCUAGAGGAAGGGGCGGCUAAUUCCGUGCCAGCAGCCGCGGUAACACGGAAGCCCCGAGCGUUGUUCGGAUUCAUUGGGCGUAAAGGGUGCGUAGGCGGCGCGGAAAGUCCGGCGUGAAAGGCAGGGGCUCAACCUCUGGACUGCGUUGGAUACUUCCGUGCUUGAGGACUGGAGGGGAGACUGGAAUUCACGGUGUAGCAGUGAAAUGCGUAGAUAUCGUGAGGAAGACCGGUGGCGAAGGCGAGUCUCUGGACAGAUCCUGACGCUGAGGCACGAAGGCUGGGGGAGCGAACAGGAUUAGAUACCCUGGUAGUCCCAGCAGUAAACGAUGUGAGCUUGAUGUGGGGGGAUUCGACCCCUUCCGUGUCGAAGCUAACGCGAUAAGCUCACCGCCUGAGGAGUACGGCCGCAAGGCUAAAACUCAAAGAAAUUGACGGGGACCCGCACAAGCGGUGGAGUAUGUGGCUUAAUUCGAUGCAACGCGAAGAACCUUACCUGGCCUUGACAUGCAUUGUGUCGUCGGUGAAAGCCGGCUAGUCCUGGAAACAGGACGCUUUGCACAGGUGCUGCAUGGCUGUCGUCAGCUCGUGUCGUGAGAUGUUGGGUUAAGUCCCGCAACGAGCGCAACCCUUGUGGUCAGUUACUAACCGGCUUAGCCGGAGGACUCUGGCCAGACUGCCCUGUCAAACGGGGAGGAAGGUGGGGACGACGUCAAGUCAGUAUGG
This 1141-nucleotide ribosomal RNA is filed under the name uncultured organism. Its description in RNAcentral is "bacterial SSU rRNA". It matches the Rfam family "Bacterial small subunit ribosomal RNA", at positions 51 to 1198 of the family's 1533-position model. The record is from RNAcentral.